UGCCAGCAGCCGCGGUAAGACGGAGGGUGCAAACGUUGUUCGGAAUCACUGGGCAUAAAGCGCACGUAGGCGGCUUGGUCAGUCCGUUGUGAAAGCCCCCGGCUCAACCGGGGAACUGCAAUGGAUACUGCUUGGCUCGAGGACGGUUGGGGUGAGUGGAACUCCUGGUGGAGCGGUGAAAUGCGUAGAUAUCAGGAGGAACACCAGUGGCGAAAGCGGCUCACUGGACCGUAUCUGACGCUGAGGUGCGAAAGCUAGGGUAGCGAACGGGAUUAGAUA
RNAcentral lists this ribosomal RNA (279 nucleotides) under uncultured bacterium. Its description in RNAcentral is "partial 16S ribosomal RNA". It matches the Rfam family "Bacterial small subunit ribosomal RNA", at positions 506 to 784 of the family's 1533-position model. The record is from RNAcentral.